This 1032-nucleotide long non-coding RNA is filed under the name Gallus gallus (chicken). RNAcentral describes it as "lncRNA (ENSGALG00010017504.1)". The record is from RNAcentral. Lineage: Eukaryota; Metazoa; Chordata; Aves; Galliformes; Phasianidae.
AUGAGGAACAGCUCUGCCGGUACCAAAGUGCCCUGCAGGAGGUGCUCUAGGCAAGCAGCGGAAGCUCCCUGCAGCCCAGAAAAGGCCUACGGAGGAGUAGGCUGUCGCCUGCAGCCCACAGACAUCACGUGGAGCAGAUCUCCUAGUGCAGCCGUGGACGAGCCCCUACAGGAGCAGCCUCGGCUGGAACUGCACCCCGUGUGGAGGAGCCCUGGCAGGGCAAGAGGGCUGGGGGAACUGCUGCUUGUGGAGCAGUGUGCUCCUGAAGGUGGGCUUUGUGAAAGGGGAGCCAUGUCAGAGCACUGCUUGAUGAGCUGCGCCCUUGGGAAGCUGACACAGGAAAGGGAGAGGAGAAAGUUCUAUUUGGACUUGAGAUUGUAGUGGGAGUUUUAAUGAAGUGGAUGCGGAAGGGUGAAUUCCUGUCGUGUUCUUUUGGACACACUUGCUGAAAAGUGAGGAAGGAGAAUCACAGAUGAUUGAGGCACUGUUAUUUGCAGUCCACGUUCUUGGAAAUGAUCAUUUAUUCUGCACACCAUAUGUACACCUCACAUAAUCUAGUCUUUUCUGUACCUGUAUUCUGUAUCCCACUUUUAAGCCUUCCCCAAUCCUUUUAUCUCUGAGGUGCAUACUUAAAGGCAUUCUUGCCCUUAAUUAACUAAGCAAUUAAAAAUCUAUUUAAAAAAACCCACAAACAUUAAUGUGCUGCAUUAAACUUGCCUACUUUUUUCCUAUUGUAGCAGUGGGUAAUAAACAGUAAUCUGCAGGUGUCUUAGAUGUCUGACUGAGACAUUUCAUCUCUAAAUUAAUAUUUGAAGUGGCAGAUACUCAAUCCAGUAUAAUAAUUCAUCAAUGACACUGUGAAACAUAUUCCAGCUUCAUCUUUAGCAUUAAGUCUUUUUUUUUUUUUUUUACCUUUCCCUUAAGCUCACUGUUGAGAUGUAUUCCUUGAGUCAAUAUAUAUAUAUAUUUUUGUAACAUCAAAAACGUUGAAUUGAUUAGGAGGGUUUAUCUUGGAUUCAAGGACCGUAUUAU